CAAAUUUAAAAAAAACCAAAACAAACAACAACCAACCAAAUAUAAAAGCCCUGCCUUCGCCAACACAAUUGCUAGUUCAUCAAUCAAAGAGCUAAGGAUGUCUAACUUUGAUAUUCUGCAUAGUAUAAGGUGGAAGGCUAAAAAAGGAAAACGGAAGUAGAGAAAUUAUAGCUGUACACAGGUCUGCACACUGUCCCAAAUCCUUCAAUUGACCAUUAAGCUAAAAACAAACAAAAAAACCCCACCACAAACACACACAUGGCAUCACUACAUAAACAUCAACUGCCAGUGCUCACAUCCCAACAUGGGAUAAAGGGGUAAACUGGUGACAGGCUCUGGGCCUUUGCAUGACUUCAGAAACUUUACUUCUACCCUGCUAGGUGCCUGGCUCUAUGUAAAUGCAAAUAAUAUAGCAAAUUCAGUUCAAUAGUAAGAAUGUCUUACUAUUACGUGCUCUAACUUUUUUGAUUUUUACCUUACACUUCCGAGAUAGAAAUCCUGUCUUGAAAGUCAAUUUAUGAAAAAUCAUUUCAAGUGCUUCAGGGCUUCUGGUUAGUAUGAUCAAGUAUUUUCAAACUUCAAAAUUACAUUGCUGAUGUUAAGUAAUGUGGAGUUAAAUUAAUGUGGAAUUACUAUAGAACUUUAUCUAUAACUAUAUAACUUAAUAUAUAACUAUAACAAAGGCAAAUGCUUUAAUUUGCAGUUCCUCAAUCAGAAUGCAAGUAGGUUAUCUGCUUUCCUGACACAAUUGGGGAAAACAGUGGCUUAUAUCUAGAUAGGAAUUAGCUUAGCUUCAGAAACCUUUUGGUGCAGGAAAGUACAUUUGCAUCUUGGAAUGAAGAGGCAUUUCCUAACAUAUAUGUUUAGAUUGUUUUUAUUUUAAUGUUAGUGGGAUGUACCUACAUACCUACAAUGUAAGUGAACUAUGAAUUCCACAUCAAAUUAAUACAAAUGUGUUAUUAAGUACCUUAUACAGGCUAUACCAUCUUUACUUAACAUAAAUACAUUUCUCCAUUUCAAAGAAAUGAAAAAAAUACAGAUAACUUAGCUUUUGGAUUUCCAAAGCUUGUUAUUAGCUUGCAAGAACACAAAUAUUCUUUCCAUUUUAGAAGUGGAUUUUUUACACACUGUAUUUGAUUUAUACUAAAUUAAGCAUGAGUAAAUGUUAUAAAAAUAUUGCUUGUCUUCUGGGAUACAAAUUAUCGUGAUCAUAUUUAUAACCCAAUGUUUAUAUAUAAAGUUACGAAAGCAUAAAUUAAUAAUGAUGCAUUAGUGGGAAAAAAAGGCCUAAUGAAUUAAGUUUGACUGUAAAUAUCCAGCAGAGGAGGCUAGUUCUGAAUAUAAAAUUGAUCAGAUGAGACUGUUUGGCGAGAUCCUUAUCUAAAUAUCUUUAAAUUAUAGCAAGUGCUUAAAAGUGUAAAAUUCUGAUAAGGUUAAUCUGAAGAAAAUGUAAUUUCUGAGGUUUUUCAACAUUUAGAGAAUGCAAACAACUUGUGGGAGAUGGGCAGAUGUUGAAAGGGAAGUGUUUUGGUCUAGAUGCAAACAUGAAGUUGCCGUGAGAAGAAAAAUAGAGAAAUCACAUUAUAUUACUUUUCUCUGUCACUAUAUAGGUGGGAUAAUGGAACCCAGAAGUGCUGUGAUAUCACUGGCAUUUUCUUCUUACCUCCCCUGUGAAAUCCCCAAAUCUGCUGUUAGGGCAACCUGAGAAGCAGAGCCAAAUGGAAAGUGGUUUUCUCAAAUCAUUCAGGUUACAAGCAGAUUACAGAUUUAACAAUAUCCGUCUAAAGGUAAAUGAAAGAAGUUCUACAUGAAUAUAUACAAUACAGGGAUUCUAAUUCACUCAGAAGCCCAAUUUACUGUAAACCCAGGGAAAUGCGAGUUAACACCACCUUACAGGCCCAUUUCCCAGGUCUCUAACCCAAGGAAAAACCAAAGUGGAACCUGAUAAAAGGAAGACUUCUCUGGGAAGAACAAAUCUGCUCACUGUUCCCUGAAAUUCCUACAUUUUACAUUUAAACAUUAUUGAGUAAAAUCCAUGAGACAGUCCUGGGAACGGGGAUGAGAUUGAACCCCACUUUUUCUCUCUUCCUUUGGAAAUCCCAGUGCUCAAUGCAUUGUAAAAUCUAACUCAUCCUUUUCCCAUUCCCUAGCAAUAGUGAUCCAGGUUCUGCUCAGCAACAUAAAAUGGCACAUCAGCAUCCCCCAUUUUCAGUCAUUUGCUCCAAGCUGGAAUUCACAUGGACUACAUUUAGAGCUCUUGCUAUUUUUACUGCUGCUCAAAGCAAUAGACAUUGCACCUGUAACUACUUUUCUGUUGUAUGGUGUUGGUUGACUCUGAGCAAUUUUCCAUUUACCAUCCAGGAGCUCCACAACAGCAUCCCAACUCGCUGCACAAGUAGUGAAGACUAGGACUCACGUGUUAUUUGGCAGUUCCCAUCUCUCUGUUGUUUAUAUUGGGAGAUAAGCAGAGAGAAUAAUUUUUAGCAAAUGUACUGACUUUUUAAAGACUGCAAUACCUUCUGACCACCAAUUUCAGGUUCUAGCUACUAUUCCUAGAGAAUCGGCGAACAAACCUUCCUAUUAAGGAAGUUUAUAGUAUUGGUAUUAUCUUGUAUCUGGAUAGUCCAGUGGUAACACAAUAAACUGGAAAUGUGACUUAGUAAGGGGUUUAAAGAAGCCCACGGGACCUGAAGCCACUGGUGUGUGGUCACAUCUGUGCAAGGCAUAUUUUGUUUCUCACAACAGCAAUACAGGAGUUAUAUUUUGAAGCACUGACAUUCCCCCACCCUGUAUAUUUACUAAAGAAUUUAAAAUCUAGGAUUGUCUCUUAACUGCAACAUGAAUUAAGUUCUUGUGCUAUUUUCUAAGAGAGGAAAAAUAUGAAGAAUGCUAACAGGUGAAAGGAUGUGCUAGCUACAGCAGUUCCUCUGGCAUGUAGGAUUUAGAGCAGAUAAUUUCAUAACACCAAAAGGUCAAGCAAAUCAGUCUGGAAGAGAUAUGGAGAGACCUAACUUAGUAGAAGAUGAGUCUGAAGGAGGCAUGUAGUAUAUUGUCCUUUGUUCACCACUGAGAAACAGGUGUUCCUUGAAGUUUUAAACUAAUUAUUCAUUGCUAUAAGUUGAUGCUGACAAGUAGGCUGUGGAGAAGUACAGCUAGCAAAGUUAUGAAAUAAGAAAGGCGAGGAGAAACAAGAUUAUGUCACAAGGUGUCCAACAUAGAGAUGGCCCCCCACCUUUGAAACCUUGUUGGAUCAAGGACACAAAGAAUACUUUAGAGCCCUCAAAAGCAACAUUCUUCUACACGACUAACCCACUUCUGAGGAACUGCUUGCAUGACAUUUCGGUUAACUUUGGAAGCUUAUUCUAUCUGCCUGGGAUCUACACAUCUUGCACUAACUGCUAUUGACCAUUUUAGACAGCCAUUUUUACCAUGACUCUUACUUGAGUACAUAAUACUAGUAAUUUUGCAUAUGCAAAGGAAUGUAAAAGGAAUCUCACCAAGGCACAAAGAACAUUUUGGACAGUCAGGUUGAAUUAAGCUCUUGAAAAAGAUUGGUUUAUAGCACGAUUCCAUACUUCAAACAGUUUUAAGCCAAGAGACCCAAAUAUCUUACAAAGGUGCCUGGACUAUAUAGACUUUCUAGGUAAAAGAGAAACUGUAUUAGGAGAAAAAUAUAUUAGUUUUGGCAACUUAGAAAUGGAGGUAUAUGUAAGGGAGAAGAUUAAGAAACCCAACAAAAAAAAAAAGUUCUUGUGCUUUAGGUCCUGGAAUUCAACAUACUGGUAUUUCAGAAGAAGCAAGGGAAAACACAAUAAAGAUUGAGCUACCCCACAGAAAUUACUCUUCCAGGCAUGUCUGCAGAAGAUGCAGGAGGUAAAAUAGUUGCUAGCUUUGAGAAGAUGCAGAAUCUUAAACACUUCUUACUUCUUAUUGGCAACACAAUGGCUCAAAAAGGAAGGAGAUAAGUGAACCACUGAGUUGUGGAAGAUCAGCACUUCACUCUUCUCACCCUAUGAUUUGAUGGGAGUAAAACCAGACACUUUCAUCAGUUGCAGCUUCAAAGUUGCAAAACCACAACCAAAAUUAAAGUAUAGCCUCAGUUGAAGGGGAGAGAGAGGAGAAAGUGUGAAGCAAGUUUCCAUUCAGAUUUCAUUUUUUUGCUGACUUCACUGAGCUCGAACUGACUCUGAGCAGCAAGAUCACAACACUCAGUUGUGCAUGGCCUGCAUGUACAGGGUGCAGCCACAAGAAAUCAUCACUUUCAUGGUGCAAGAUGAUAAAAGCAUUAAAAUACUUUCAGUAAGCA
This is a non-coding RNA of Lonchura striata (white-rumped munia), 4306 nucleotides long. Lineage: Eukaryota; Metazoa; Chordata; Aves; Passeriformes; Estrildidae. The record is from RefSeq and is a predicted model, not a curated record.